This 205-nucleotide ribosomal RNA is filed under the name Tricholomataceae sp. Its description in RNAcentral is "partial large subunit ribosomal RNA". It matches the Rfam family "Eukaryotic large subunit ribosomal RNA", at positions 82 to 279 of the family's 3401-position model. Lineage: Eukaryota; Fungi; Basidiomycota; Agaricomycetes; Agaricales; Tricholomataceae. The record is from RNAcentral.
AGUAACGGCGAGUGAAGCGGGAAAAGCUCAAAUUUAAAAUCUGGUGGCCGAAAGGUUGCCCGAGUUGUAAUUUAGAGAAGUGCUACCCGCGCUGGACCGUGCACAAGUCCUCUGGAAUGGGGCGUCAUAGAGGGUGAGAAUCCCGUCUUUGGUGCGGACUCCCAGUGCUUUGUGGUGUGCUCUCGAAGAGUCGAGUUGUUUGGGA